UACAGAGGUCCCGAGCGUUGUUCGGAUUCACUGGGCGUAAAGGGUGCGUAGGUGGCGAGGUAAGUCGGAUGUGAAAGCUCGGAGCUCAACUCCGAAAUGGCAUUGGAAACUACCUUGCUCGAGGGUUGGAGGGGGGACUGGAAUACUUGGUGUAGCAGUGAAAUGCGUAGAUAUCAAGUGGAACACCAGUGGCGAAGGCGAGUCCCUGGGCAACUCCUGACACUGAGGCACGAAAGCUAGGGGAGCAAACAGG
Molecule: ribosomal RNA, 253 nt
Filed under: uncultured bacterium
Lineage: Bacteria
Description: partial 16S ribosomal RNA
Rfam family: Bacterial small subunit ribosomal RNA
Source: RNAcentral